UACGUAGGUGGCAAGCGUUAUCCGGAAUUAUUGGGCGUAAAGGGAGCGUAGGCGGCUUGAUAAGUCUGAGGUGAAAGUUCGGGGCUCAACUCCGGAUUGCCUUAGAAACUGUCAGGCUAGAGUGCAGGAGAGGGCAAUGGAAUUCCAUGUGUAGCGGUAAAAUGCGUAGAUAUAUGGAGGAACACCAGUGGCGAAGGCGGUUGCCUGGCCUGUAACUGACGCUGAGGCUCGAAAGCGUGGGGAGCAAAUAGG
Molecule: ribosomal RNA, 252 nt
Filed under: uncultured bacterium
Lineage: Bacteria
Description: partial 16S ribosomal RNA
Rfam family: Bacterial small subunit ribosomal RNA
Source: RNAcentral